GGGCCUGGCCUGAUGGGAGCCUGUUCUGAUGGGAGCCUGGCCUGAUGUGAGCCUGUUCUGGUAUGAAACUUUAGCUCUGGAAUUGCCUCUCGGAUCUGACUAGCUUAAAGAUUCUAAUGACUCAGUUUCCAACAUGAAGAAAGCAGCAAUCGUCCAAGUCUGUCUUCUUUAUAGAGGUGCACACAAUAGUUUUGCACCUGGUUAACCACCGGGAAAGAAAGGAGCUGGGCUACAAAACCGGAUCUGUUCCCCGGCUCCUCGAACUCAGGGAGCCUGCCUCGCCACGUGAGUGUUGGUCUCUCACUGCUAACACGAUGUCCUCAGGGGCUGCCCAGCGGCAUUCACCUUCCGUGUGCAAACACAACAGAAAACGGCUUUUCUACCUGCUCUUGUCUCCCCCCCCCCUGCUGGGACCUGAAUUGUGAAAAUUAUGUAAGGUUUCAGUUCUUUUAAGUCUUAUAUAAAAUUAGGAUACU
This is a long non-coding RNA of Mesocricetus auratus (golden hamster), 476 nucleotides long. RefSeq lists it as uncharacterized. The transcript has 3 exons. The record is from RefSeq and is a predicted model, not a curated record. Lineage: Eukaryota; Metazoa; Chordata; Mammalia; Rodentia; Cricetidae.